ACUGUUGCCUCGGCGGGAUCUCUGCCCCGGGUGCGUCGCAGCCCCGGUACCAAGGCGCCCGCCGGAGGACCAACCAAAACUCUUAUUGUAUACCCCCUCGCGGGUUUUUUUUAUAAUCUGAGCCUUCUCGGCGCCUCUCGUAGGCGUUUCGAAAAUGAAUCAAAACUUUCAACAACGGAUCUCUUGGUUCUGGMAUCGAUGAAGAACGCAGCGAAAUGCGAUAAGUAAUGUGAAUUGCAGAAUUCAGUGAAUCAUCGAAUCUUUGAACGCACAUUGCGCCCGCCAGUAUUCUGGCGGGCAUGCCUGUCCGAGCGUCAUUUCAACCCUCGAACCCCUCCGGGGGGUCGGCGUUGGRGAUCGGCCCUMCCUUAGCGRGUGGCCGUCUCCGAAAUACAGAUGGCGGUCUCGCCGCAGUCCUCUCCUGCGGCAGUAUUUUGCACACUCGCAUCGGGAGCGCGGCGCGUCCACAGCCGUUAAACACC
This 482-nucleotide ribosomal RNA is filed under the name Trichoderma harzianum. RNAcentral's name for it is "eukaryotic LSU rRNA". The stretch from base 164 to 317 matches the Rfam family "5.8S ribosomal RNA". Lineage: Eukaryota; Fungi; Ascomycota; Sordariomycetes; Hypocreales; Hypocreaceae. The record is from RNAcentral.